AACUAAAUAGUUUAAGGGAAAACAUUAAUUUUGUAAAUUAAUAAUAAAUAUAAUUUUUUAGUUG
This 64-nucleotide transfer RNA is filed under the name Gastraspis sp. ZJUH_2016016. RNAcentral describes it as "tRNA-Thr". It matches the Rfam family "tRNA". Rfam says of the family: Transfer RNA (tRNA) molecules are approximately 80 nucleotides in length. Their secondary structure includes four short double-helical elements and three loops (D, anti-codon, and T loops). Lineage: Eukaryota; Metazoa; Arthropoda; Insecta; Hymenoptera; Figitidae. The record is from RNAcentral.